Long non-coding RNA from Gallus gallus (chicken), 1526 nucleotides. NCBI's taxonomy places the organism in Eukaryota, Metazoa, Chordata, Aves, Galliformes, Phasianidae. The record is from Ensembl.
AAGGAUCUCUAUCUGGAGAUUGCUCCCCUUGGAGUCCUUCUGUGAGCUCAGGACAGGGGUGAUGAAGACAGAAGAAACUGGUGCCAGGUUGUUCAUUAGCCUGACCCUAAAGCAAGAACUCUUUGGCCUUCUGUGACUUCUUUGCUUAUUUGGACUUCUCACAAAUGUACUUUGUUUUGUGUAAACACAAGGCUUCUGGAUUGGAUCCAAAGUUAAGACUGGAUCUCCGAAACAGUCUGUGCUAUAGUGCUUGAAAGAAGCACUACCUAUAUUGUAACACAUGCAUACUUCCCUGGCUAUCCUAUUUCCUGGGUAGUAAAUAUAGUUUACUGUGAGAUUAAUCUAUGGUACUAUACUAGUUACUGAGUGAUCAGUACAAAAUGUAAUUAUUUUUUACCAGCAGAAAUCUAUUAAAACUGCAAUGUAGCAAUAAACAAUAUUCAGGUAGAAAACACACAGGAUGUACUACUUUCUAUUAGCAGUACAUCAUUGACAUGAACAGUUUGUUCAUAGCAGCUAUACAAUUAGUUGCAGAUCAUCAUUAAAUUACUGUGAACUUCAAACACAUCCUCAAGGAGAAAUUGAUGGAAUUUGGAAAUUAGAAGCUGUCAUUUGCUGUACAAAGUGAGGAUCUGUGCACUUUUUUCAUUUAUAGCAGCAGCAUGAAACAGAAAACUGUGUUUAUCAUGUCUCAUCUUGAGGGUCUAAUGUCUGGAUCCAGUGCAGAGAGAGAAGUAAGGACUAGCUCCUUCAGGCAAAGUGUGUGGAGAUUGAGUGUACCUUGAGUUACAAACAAGUCUGUCCUUGGGUAGAAAUGCCUGGGGAACACUGGUGAGCUUCCUACCCUGAAGAGAUACAUCUGAACAUAGUUUCUUCUCUCUUUUUUCAACACAGUUGUUUCACCAGAGGACUAGAUUAGAGUCAAAUCUAUUUUUUUGUGUAAUUUUUGCCUGGAUGGUUGGAAACAUAAAAAAGAUUAUUGAUACUAUCUGGCCUAUUUUUUUUUUUUGCCACGAAAGGAAAAGCAUGGUCUUUAAUACCAUAUGUGUCUAAUCUAUUUCUGUUUACAUCUGAGAAUGAUAGACAUACUGCGUAUAAUAAGCUCAAAACUUGUAAGAAUAAAAGCAGGUGGUUAUUAAAAAACAGUGCUGAAGACUGUAGGAUACUGGGAAAUAAGUUAGCUGCUUAAUGCCUGCAAACUGGGGAAUGAGAAAAUGGAAAAUAUCUGCUUCUCAGUGGAAGCUGUUGGGAAGUGUUAGAAGUAAAGUUUCUUAGUAAGAAAACUGCAUAAUAAAAAGGCACGGCCUCACUGCUGCAAGCUAGGCUAAUUUUAACAUAGCAGGCUCACAGAGUGGAAAAAUACAUUUUAUGUAGUACAGGAUGUGUUAUCAUAUGUGACUUAUGCCUUGUUUUUGUUCAGAUCCUGUUGAAUCUUUACUCAGCUGUGUAACUUGCCAAGGUGAGUGGCAGCCUCUCAGUAUAUAUGCUGAUACUUGAGGAGCCAGGGAAUAAAUGUCAUACCAGUC